Molecule: ribosomal RNA, 301 nt
Filed under: uncultured bacterium
Lineage: Bacteria
Description: partial 16S ribosomal RNA
Rfam family: Bacterial small subunit ribosomal RNA
Source: RNAcentral
CAGCCGCCGCGGUAAUACGGAGGGGGCUAGCGUUGUUCGGAAUUACUGGGCGUAAAGCGCACGUAGGCGGCUUGGUAAGUUAGAGGUGAAAGCCCAGGGCUCAACCCUGGAAUUGCCUUUAAGACUACCGAGCUAGUAGGUGAGGGAGGUGAGUGGAAUUCCGAGUGUAGAGGUGAAAUUCGUAGAGAUGUGGAGGAACACCAGUGGCGAAGGCGACUCUCUGGUCUGUAACUGACGCUGAGGAGCGAAAGCGUGGGGAGCGAACAGGAUUAGAUACCCCAGUAGUCCCUGUCUCUUAUAC